RNAcentral lists this ribosomal RNA (2876 nucleotides) under Candidatus Synechococcus calcipolaris G9. RNAcentral's name for it is "23S ribosomal RNA". It matches the Rfam family "Bacterial large subunit ribosomal RNA". The record is from RNAcentral. Lineage: Bacteria; Bacillati; Cyanobacteriota; Cyanophyceae; Synechococcales; Synechococcaceae.
GGUCAAGCUACAAAGAGCCUACGGUGGAUACCUAGGCACACAGAGGCGAUGAAGGACGUGGUUACCGACGAAACGCUUCGGGGAGCUGGAAGCAAGCUUUGAUCCGGAGAUGUCCGAAUGGGGCAACCCAAUAACUCUAACGCCAAUCCAUAACGUUAGAGAGCCAACCCAGCGAAUUGAAACAUCUUAGUAGCUGGAGGAAGAGAAAGCAAACGCGAUUCCCCUAGUAGCGGCGAGCGAAGCGGGAACAGCCUAAACCAGCAGGCUUGCCUGUUGGGGUCGUGGGACAGCGACAUGGAAUCGAGCGACUAGACGAAGCAGCUGAAUACUGCACCAGAGAAGGUGAAAGUCCUGUAGUCGAAAGUUUAACGAUACUAGCUGAAUCCCGAGUAGUCCGGAGCACGUGAAAUUCCGGAUGAAUCUGCGAGGACCACCUCGUAAGGCUAAAUACUCCUGUGUGACCGAUAGCGUAUAGUACCGCGAGGGAAAGGUGAAAAGAACCCCGGAAGGGGAGUGAAAUAGAACAUGAAACCGUAGGCUUACAAGCAGUCGAAGGCCGAUUUAACGGCUGACGGCGUGCCUGUUGAAGAAUGAGCCGGCGACUUAUAGGUACUGGCAGGUUAAGACGGAAAUGUCGAAGCCAAAGCGAAAGCGAGUCUGAUAAGGGCGUUAGUCAGUAUUUAUAGACCCGAACCCGGGUGAUCUAACCAUGGCCAGAAUGAAGCUUGGGUAAAACCAAGUGAAGGUUCGCACCGACCGAUGUUGAAAAAUCGGCGGAUGAGCUGUGGUUAGGGGUGAAAUGCCAAUCGAACCCGGAGCUAGCUGGUUCUCCCCGAAAUAUGUUGAGGCAUAGCGGUUGAGAUUAUAGCGGGGGGGUAAAGCACUGAUUCGGUGCGGGCUGGGAGACCGGUACCAAAUCGAGUCAAACUCUGAAUACCCCGUGUACACUCAGCCAGUCAGACGGUGGGGGAUAAGCUUCAUCGUCAAGAGGGAAACAGCCCAGACCACCAGCUAAGGUCCCCAAAUUGUCACUAAGUGAUAAAGGAGGUAGGAAUGCAUAGACAACCAGGAGGUUUGCCUAGAAGCAGCCACCCUUAAAAGAGUGCGUAAUAGCUCACUGGUCAAGCGUUCCUGCGCCGAAAAUGAACGGGGCUAAGUGACGUACCGAAGCUGUGGGAUAUAUCUAUCGAUGUAUCGGUAGGGGAGCGUUCUGCAUUAGUUUGAAGCACUAGCGUAAGCAGGUGUGGACGAGGCAGAAGUGAGAAUGUCGGCUUGAGUAGCGAAAACAUUGGUGAGAAUCCAAUGCCCCGAAACCCCAAGGGUUCCUCCGGAAGGCUCGUCCGCGGAGGGUUAGUCGGGACCUAAGGCGAGGCCGAAAGGCGUAGUCGAUGGACAACUGGUUAAUAUUCCAGUACUCAUCUUGGUUUGUGCAGAGGGACGGAGAAGGCUAAAUCAGCCGGAUGUUGGUUACCGGUUUAACUGUCCGAGGUGUUGAGGAGCGGUGAAAACGCUCUGAGCUAAGGCAGGAAUACGACCCGCUACGGCGGGGAAGUGAUUGAUGUCAUACUUCCGAGAAAAGCUCUAAACACGCUAAGCCAAGAUACCCGUACCCGAAACCGACACAGGUGGGGGGGUAGAGUAUACCAAGGGGCGCGAGAUAACUCUCUCUAAGGAACUCGGCAAAAUGGCCCCGUAACUUCGGGAGAAGGGGUGCCACCGAGAGGUGGUCGCAGUGAAGAGAUCCAGGCGACUGUUUACCAAAAACACAGGUCUCCGCUAAGUCGCAAGACGAUGUAUGGGGGCUGACGCCUGCCCAGUGCCGGAAGGUUAAGGAAGUUGGUUAGCGUAAGCGAAGCUAGCGACUGAAGCCCCGGUGAACGGCGGCCGUAACUAUAACGGUCCUAAGGUAGCGAAAUUCCUUGUCGGGUAAGUUCCGACCCGCACGAAAGGCGUAACGAUCUGGAUGCUGUCUCGGAGAGAGACUCGGCGAAAUAGAAGUGUCUGUGAAGAUGCGGACUACCUGCACCCGGACAGAAAGACCCUAUGAAGCUUUACUGUAGCUUGGAAUUGGGUUCGGGCUUUGCUUGCGCAGGAUAGGUGGGAGACGUUGAAGUAUCUCUUUUGGGAGAUAUGGAGUCAUCGGUGAGAUACCACUCUGGCAAGGCUAGAAUUCUAACUCUCUGCCGUUAUCCGGCGAGGGAACAGUUUCAGGUGGGCAGUUUGACUGGGGCGGUCGCCUCCUAAAAGAUAACGGAGGCGCGCAAAGGUUCCCUCAGACUGGUCGGAAAUCAGUCGAAGAGUGUAAAGGCAUAAGGGAGCUUGACUGCAAGACCUACAAGUCGAGCAGGUACGAAAGUAGGCCUUAGUGAUCCGACGGUUCCGCGUGGAAGGGCCGUCGCUCAACGGAUAAAAGUUACUCUAGGGAUAACAGGCUGAUCUCCCCCAAGAGUUCACAUCGACGGGGAGGUUUGGCACCUCGAUGUCGGCUCAUCGCAACCUGGGGCGGUAGUACGUCCCAAGGGUUGGGCUGUUCGCCCAUUAAAGCGGUACGUGAGCUGGGUUCAGAACGUCGUGAGACAGUUCGGUCCAUAUCCGGUGCAGGCGUAGGAGCAUUGAGAGGAGUCCUCCUUAGUACGAGAGGACCGGGAGGAACGCACCGCUGGUGUACCUGUUGUCGUGCCAACGGCAAACGCAGGGUAGCCAAGUGCGGAGUGGAUAACCGCUGAAAGCAUCUAAGUGGGAAGCCCACCUCAAGAUGAGUGCUCCCAUGGCACAAGCCAGUAAGGUCACGGGAAGAACACCCGUUAAUAGGCUCUAGAUGGAAGUUCAGUAAUGGAUGAAGUCGAGGAGUACUAAUAGACCGAGGGCUUGACCUC